This 253-nucleotide ribosomal RNA is filed under the name uncultured bacterium. RNAcentral describes it as "partial 16S ribosomal RNA". It matches the Rfam family "Bacterial small subunit ribosomal RNA", at positions 524 to 776 of the family's 1533-position model. The record is from RNAcentral.
CACGUAGGGCGCAAGCGUUAAUCGGAAUUACUGGGCGUAAAGCGUGCGCAGGCGGUUAUGUAAGACAGGUGUGAAAUCUCCGGGCUUAACCUGGGAACUGCAUUUGUGACUGCAAGGCUAGAGUACGGUAGAGGGGGAUGGAAUUCCGCGUGUAGCAGUAAAAUGCGUAGAUAUGCGGAGGAACACCGAUGGCGAAGGCAAUCCCCUGGACCUUUACUGACGCUCAUGCACGAAAGCGUGGGGAGCAAACAGG